Molecule: long non-coding RNA, 3451 nt
Organism: Panicum virgatum (switchgrass)
Lineage: Eukaryota; Viridiplantae; Streptophyta; Magnoliopsida; Poales; Poaceae
Exons: 2
Source: RefSeq, a predicted model, not a curated record
GCUGCACUAUUAAUGGGCUGCAUAGUAUUGGGCUAAAAUUCGUUAUGGGCCAAAUUCUUUCAAUAUUUUCUUAAAAAAUAAGAAAAAUGGUUUGGGCUGCAUAGUGCUAGGGCCUAAUUCCCCUCUCUUGGGCUUAAUUAAUUUUAAUUAACUUUUAAUCCCCUCUUAAGCCCAAUAAUGGUAACAAAUUUUACUAUGUUUUGGAAUGCUAAAAUUUUGGCUAAGUCCCAAACUUUACUAUGAUUAGCAAUGUCUAAAUUUUGCUAUAAUUUUGGAUCUCACAAUUUUGGCCCAGAUUUUAUAAGAUAUUGAAAAUAAGUAAGUUUUGGGCAAAAUUAGAUAAUAAGUUGAGAUAAUUUAGACUUUUGGGCUAAAAUUUUAAGGAAUUUUUCCUUAAGUCCAUUUGUGAUUAAGUAUUUUCCUUAUGUUUAUGAAUAAGCUUUUUUCAUGAUGUUUUAAUGAUUAAUUUAUAUCUAAGGUAUUUGAUUAUUUGAUUAUUAUGUUUUGCCAUUAGUAUAAUUUAAGUUUCCACCAGAAAUUAUGAAAUACUCUCCAUUUAAAUUGGAACUAUUUUUCAGUGAAGCUUUAAAUUCAGUUUAAGUCUAUUUGAGGCAUUUAUUUGUAAUGUUUAUAGCUCAACAAUGAUAAAUUACUUUCAUUAUGAAAAUAAUUUAUCUGCCACAUACUUACGUGCCACUUGAAUUGAGGCUUAAUAAUGAAGCAUCUUAUGACUCAUAAGUAUUAUCAAUUAUGUGAGCAUGUUAUACUCACAAAAUUGAUAUGCCCAUAAGUGAAUCAUAAAGUUUAAGACCCAUUUUGGGAAAACUCAAAUAAUGACAUCUUUUAAUGGCCAAUUUUCUAAGAAAUUAAAUAAUGGGCUAUAUUUGUUUGAUGUCAUUAACACUUUUGUUUACGUUUGGAAAAUGUGCAUUCCAUUAAUAACACCACUAAGGAAUUACUUAUUAUAAUGAUUGGAAUGCACAAAUUCUAAUAAUGGCUCUAACUUAUAAUUUUAUCCUAGUUUGGAAUCAAUCCAACGGAAUAUUUAGAUCCAUGAUUAGAAUUUCAAUGAUGAUUCGUGGUUGUAUUCUGACCAAAGUUGUUUACAAUCAUGGAUUAUCAUGAUUUGAUUCAUUUAUUAAUAAAGAAUAUUAUUCUUAAGCCAUGCAUACUUAGUGAGUCCAGUUUUAGACAUAAAUCUUAAUAGCUGGCUUUUGAAUAUUUUUUUAAGUUGAGCCACAAAUAACGUUGAUAAGAAUGUCAGGGAAACACUAAGUUUUCUCUGAUAAGUGAGAAUUUGCUCAAAAGAGUAUUGGCAUAACGUAACCGAUUAUAUGACUUUCGACUACAUACUGAACAAAGUUGUUUGUAGCCACAUGUCAUUCUCAUCCUGAAGAUUAUGAUUAAUUUUGUGACUCAUGACUAUAUACUGACCAAAGUUAUUUAUGGUCAUGUGUCACUAAAAUUGAUUGUGUUAUUAAGUUGCCAGCUCUAGAGCAAUUAUGGGUAUAAUUAUAAAUUAAGAUAGACUGAACUAUUGAUGACUAAUGUCAAUAAUGAUUAUGUUUAUACAAAAUUAAGAAAUCUCUUAUUAAGAAAAAUCAAAGAAGUACCUUAGUUAAUGAUUCAGUUAUGAGAAAUUAUGUUGAAAGGCACAUGGGUCAUUUCCAAUAAAGUUUCCGCUGCAAAAGAAAUAACACUCUGGUUAAGUGUGGCAUACAUUCAUCAUUCUGUCCAAAGCUGAUUGGUGAAUGUGUGACUGCAAAAUUUUGUUAUUCCGGUUCAUCUUCUAGCCAAAGCUGAUUUUGAAUCGGAGUAAUGAAAGGAGUUUAUAUCUAAUAUUAAGUGUGGAUUGUGUUUAUCAUUCUGGCCAAAGCUGAUUUGGGUUAUGAUUCAACAAAAGAAGUUUUAUGCACAUGAUAUUAAGUGUGGCUUGUACUUAUUCUUUUGGCCAAAGCUGAUGAAUAAGUACUGGUUCACAAAAUUCUGUUGUUCUUUUCCAUUUCUGGCCAAAGUUGAUUUUGACUAGUUCAAUAGAAGAAGUUUGUGCUGAUACUUGCUAAAGUAUUCAAUAAAACCUCUAAAGAUCAAAAACUAAUGAGUGGCACUAAGCAAUUAAAUGAGAGUAUCUAUGCCUCAUGGAAAGAACAUCUGUUUAUGGAUGCAAAAUCAAACUUAUGAAUUUUCCCUAUUGAUGAUAAGAAUUAAUUAAGUCAUAAGUUUCUAAUAUGGUUGUUUUAAAUACCACUAUUAGAAGUGAAGUGCUUUUACCAGCACCUCAUUAAUUCUUAAGAUCAUAACUAAGAUGGCACAUACAAGUGUCAUAAGAGGUGUAGUUCCCAUUAGAAAAGUUCAAUACUAAGGAUAUUGAUGAAAAAUUAAUGAUUUUAUUGGUCAUCAAUAUCUAAUGGGUAUAUAUUAAGAUAGGUCACUUAUGGACAAAUAUCCGAAUCAAGGGGAGCAAUCCCUCAAUUCUAGAUAAAUGUAAGAAUCAGGGGAGUAAUCCUCAAGAUAAGUUAUGUUAAAGAGCACAUUUUACAUUAAUGGUGAGUUAUUUCCUUCAUUGUGUAUCAAUAAGGAUAGGAUAAUGUGAUAUGCCUCUGGGCAUAAUUAAGAUCAAAGAAAAUGAGACUAAGGUAAUAAGAUGAGUCUCUAAGUAAUAAAAAUCCUAAGUUCUAAAGAAUUGUAUUUAUGAAAAGGAAGAUAAUGUCAUUAGAUUCCAUUAGUAUAAAAUUAUGUUUAUUUCUAAUAUAUACAUUCAUGUUACUUUUAUAUGUUGUAAUAAGGAUAAACAAACAAAUAAAUAAAGGUUCUUCGAAAUAUGGUACUAUUGCAUAAACCACAUUUCGAAGGGGAGAGUGGAACCUUCAUUAAGAAAAUAUUUUCCACCUCUUUAUGUCAGGUAAGAAUUAAAUAUUGAGAAAAAUAUUAAGAUAAGUUUAUCAUGUGUUAGUUUCUUAUGUGUCAUUUAAUUGACAAUGUUAUUCUUAUUAUGAGCUAUAUGCUAGCCUUAGAAAUGAAUAUUAUUUCAGUAUCAUAUCUCACCACUAAUAUCGCUAAGUUGAGAAUUAGAUGGGAGCUCUAAAGCAAGGAAAAAUAAUAUUAAAGGAAAAUUAGUUAAGCUCACUUAUGAAAACUUGCUUUAGCUCCUUGUGGUGCUUUUGUGCCCACAUGAAGAUUUUUGAUCAAUCCCACUUAAAGUGAAAGGCAUAUAUAUAAGAAAAAGGGAUUGAUUAUGUUAUAUAAGAUAAAAAGAAUUGAUGACGCUUGUUGCUCAUCAUUUGAAAAAACUAUCGAGUCCAUAAGUGAUACAUAAGUACAAAAGGAAAUAAGUUAAUUAAGUUUUAAACAAUAGGGAUAUUGUGUACAUAAGAUUCAGAUUUUCUUUUAUCUGGAUACUAAGAUUGUCUUGGUGAUAUCUCUUAAGUUUUGAACAAUAAUGUUCACCAAG